CCUACGGGGGGCAGCAGUGGGGAAUAUUGGACAAUGGGCGAAAGCCUGAUCCAGCCAUGCCGCGUGUGUGAAGCAGGCCUUCGGGUUGUAAAGCACUUUCAGUGGGGAAGAAAGCCUUGGGGCUAAUACCCUCGAGGAAGGACAUCACCCACAGAAGAAGCACCGGCUAACUCCGUGCCAGCAGCCGCGGUAAUACGGAGGGUGCGAGCGUUAAUCGGAAUUACUGGGCGUAAAGCGCGCGUAGGCGGUCUGAUAAGCCGGUUGUGAAAGCCCCGGGCUCAACCUGGGAACGGCAUCCGGAACUGUCAGGCUAGAGUGCAGGAGAGGAAGGUAGAAUUCCCGGUGUAGCGGUGAAAUGCGUAGAGAUCGGGAGGAAUACCAGUGGCGAAGGCGGCCUUCUGGACUGACACUGACGCUGAGGUGCGAAAGCGUGGGUAGCAAACAGGAUUAGAUACCCGAGUAGUC
RNAcentral lists this ribosomal RNA (465 nucleotides) under Vreelandella stevensii. RNAcentral's name for it is "partial 16S ribosomal RNA". It matches the Rfam family "Bacterial small subunit ribosomal RNA", at positions 338 to 795 of the family's 1533-position model. The record is from RNAcentral. Lineage: Bacteria; Pseudomonadati; Pseudomonadota; Gammaproteobacteria; Oceanospirillales; Halomonadaceae.